RNAcentral lists this ribosomal RNA (448 nucleotides) under uncultured bacterium. Its description in RNAcentral is "bacterial SSU rRNA". It matches the Rfam family "Bacterial small subunit ribosomal RNA", at positions 340 to 786 of the family's 1533-position model. The record is from RNAcentral.
UACGGAAGGCAGCAGUAGGGAAUAUUGGGCAAUGGGCGAGAGCCUGACCCAGCCAUGCCGCGUGCAGGAAGAAGGCUUUCUGAGUCGUAAACUGCUUUUGAUAGGGAAGAAUAACCAGUACGUGUACUGGGAUGACGGUACCUACAGAAUAAGCACCGGCUAACUCCGUGCCAGCAGCCGCGGUAAUACGGAGGGUGCGAGCGUUGUCCGGAUUUAUUGGGUUUAAAGGGUGCGUAGGCGGCCCGUUAAGUCCGGGGUGAAGCCCGCUGCUCAACAGCGGAACUGCCCUGGAUACUGGCGGGCUUGAGUACAGACGAGGUUGGCGGAAUGGACCAAGUAGCGGUGAAAUGCAUAGAUACGGUCCAGAACCCCGAUUGCGAAGGCAGCUGACUAGGCUGUUACUGACGCUGAGGCACGACAGCGUGGGGAGCGAACAGGAUUAGAUACC